Molecule: ribosomal RNA, 459 nt
Filed under: uncultured bacterium
Lineage: Bacteria
Description: partial 16S ribosomal RNA
Rfam family: Bacterial small subunit ribosomal RNA
Source: RNAcentral
CCUACGGGUGGCAGCAGUGAGGAAUAUUGGUCAAUGGUCGGGAGACUGAACCAGCCAAGCCGCGUGAGGGUGGAAGGUACAGAGUAUCGUAAACCUCUUUUGUCAGGGAACAAAGGCGGGGCCGUGUCCCCGGAUGAGUGUACCUGAAGAAAAAGCAUCGGCUAACUCCGUGCCAGCAGCCGCGGUAAUACGGAGGAUGCGAGCGUUAUCCGGAUUUUUUGGGUUUAAAGGGUGCGCAGGCGGUCUGUUAAGUCAGCGGUCAAAGCCCGGGGCUCAACCCCGGUCCGCCGUUGAAACUGGCAGGCUCGAGUUGGAGAGAAGUAUGCGGAAUGCGCGGUGUAGCGGUGAAAUGCAUAGAUAUCGCGCAGAACUCCGAUUGCGAAGGCAGCAUGCCGGCUCCACACUGACGCUGAGGCACGAAAGCGUGGGUAUCGAACAGGAUUAGAUACCCCAGUAGUC